AAGCUGUUCAACCAAAGACAGUAGGUGCCGUAUGGCAUAAGUUUAACCGCCUACCGAGGAAUGAGCAUGGUAAUUUAAUUGCUUAUGUUGUGCAUUCCGUGGGUAACGGGGUGCACUUUUUUGUUUU
This 127-nucleotide small RNA is filed under the name pig gut metagenome. RNAcentral describes it as "Ribosomal protein L10 leader". It matches the Rfam family "Ribosomal protein L10 leader", at positions 14 to 134 of the family's 138-position model. From Rfam's summary of the family: This family is a putative r-protein leader autoregulatory structure found in B. subtilis and other low-GC Gram-positive bacteria. The record is from RNAcentral.